RNAcentral lists this ribosomal RNA (254 nucleotides) under uncultured bacterium. RNAcentral describes it as "partial 16S ribosomal RNA". It matches the Rfam family "Bacterial small subunit ribosomal RNA", at positions 524 to 776 of the family's 1533-position model. The record is from RNAcentral.
UACGAAGGGGGCUAGCGUUGCUCGGAAUCACUGGGCGUAAAGCGCACGUAGGCGGAUUGCUAAGUCAGGGGUGAAAUCCUGGAGCUCAACUCCAGAACUGCCUUCGAUACUGGGAGUCUUCGAGUUCGGGAGAGGUGAGUGGAACUGCGAGUGUAGAGGUGAAAUUCGUAGAUAUUCGCAAGAACACCAGUGGCGAAGGCGGCUCACUGGCCCGAUACUGACGCUGAGGUGCGAAAGCGUGGGGAGCAAACAGG